GUAUUUUUGUAUUUUUUUUUUUUUUUUUUUUUUUUUUAUUGGUUUUGAAUGUCGUGAUAUGUAAUGUCGAUAUUCUGUCACUCGUCUCGCACUGUUUAUCAUGUUUUUUUUAUGAUUGUGUUAUUUUUGUUGUUUCGGAUUUUCUUAUUUAUUUGUGUAUUUUUUUAUUAGGUUUAUAUAUUGUGUGUUGUGAAUGUUGAGUUUGGUAAUGUCGACAUUUUGAAGCCCCUCGCCACAGCUACUUGUAUCUUCAAACAGAGUAAAACCAUAAAAACAUUGAAUAUUCCACACAUAAUUCCCAGAUAACUUUCAAAUACUGAAAAUUUAACACACGCAAGGACAUAGUAUUGGAAUUUAAUGUGUUGUGAAUGCUGAGUUUAGUAAUGUCGACAUUUUGAAGCUCACCACGGCUACGUACUUGUAUCCUCAAAUAAACUAAAACCAUAACAACACUGAAUAAUCCACACAUAAUUCCCUGAUAACCUUGAAAUACUGAGAAUUUAACACAUACAAGGACAUAGUAUUGGAAUUUAUAGUGGGUAAGGAGAAGAGAGUCAAUUCCUUUAGAGAGCCAGUUACUUACGGGGCCACAGACAUGGCGGUCGGUGUGGACUGCUUCGUGUUCACGAAUCACCAGUCAUUUGAGCAACAGCGGCGGGAGGCCAAGCGCUCCUUCAUCAUCCAGCUAGAUCCUCCCACCCAUGGUACAAUAACACUCGUGUACCAUGCUCCCACCCACCCACUCAUCAACGUGUUGUUAUUUGCUUGUAUAACUCGACUUGAAGCGAGCCAAGCAGCCCCGCCUGGACAGCUCCAACAAGCCUUUGUGCCUUGAAGUAGCUCAGUUGAGUGAGGCUGGCUCAUCCAUGAUCCCAGCUAUCAUAGGAACAACUCUACUGAAGGCGUGUGCACCAGCAGGUGAUAGGGCGCCGUCUUCACCAUGGGAACCACAACCAACAGUGCUGAGCCAGGUAAGGCUUGUGAAGGUUUAUCCAAUGGUACAAGUAUAAAACUUGAACAUUCUCAAUAUAUAAUUUUUAUUUUUACUGUCAAAUAAUAAUAAUAAUAAUCAUCAGAGAAAGAUUUUGUUUAGCUGAUCUUUCUCUCAAGUGGCAAAGCAGCUUUCUGUCCAUGACAGAUAACCAUGACCACCUCUACAGCUACUCUCAAGCACAGUGAUAUUGCCAGAAAUGUGUGAUAGUAAUGACUCAAGCUUUGUGCUGGAAGACAUAGUAUCACUUAGUCUAAAUAGAUGUAGUGUCAACCACAUCCCCUCAGGAAGUUUGUACCUCAGUUUAGUCAGGGAAUGUAGUGUGUUCACUGUGGUCCUCCUUGCACUUAAUAUUCCUAAAAUUAUUAACAAUUUUUACAUUAGAAAAAUAUAAGCAUAUUCUGGGAAUACAAAAUCACUCUAUUAUUAUUUUAAUAAUGUUAACCUUGGGAUGCAUGUCUGACUGUGUACAAGAAAACUU
Long non-coding RNA from Portunus trituberculatus (swimming crab), 1472 nucleotides. RefSeq lists it as uncharacterized. Lineage: Eukaryota; Metazoa; Arthropoda; Malacostraca; Decapoda; Portunidae. The transcript has 3 exons. The record is from RefSeq and is a predicted model, not a curated record.